RNAcentral lists this ribosomal RNA (482 nucleotides) under uncultured bacterium. RNAcentral's name for it is "partial 16S ribosomal RNA". It matches the Rfam family "Bacterial small subunit ribosomal RNA", at positions 30 to 507 of the family's 1533-position model. The record is from RNAcentral.
AUUGAACGCUGGCGGCAUGCUUUACACAUGCAAGUCGAACGGUAACAGGCCGCAAGGUGCUGACGAGUGGCGAACGGGUGAGUAAUGCAUCGGAACGUGCCCAGUCGUGGGGGAUAACUACUCGAAAGAGUAGCUAAUACCGCAUACGAUCUAUGGAUGAAAGCGGGGGACCGUAAGGCCUCGCGCGAUUGGAGCGGCCGAUGUCAGAUUAGGUAGUUGGUGGGGUAAAGGCUCACCAAGCCAACGAUCUGUAGCUGGUCUGAGAGGACAGCCAGCCACACUGGGACUGAGACACGGCCCAGACUCCUACGGGAGGCAGCAGUGGGGAAUUUUGGACAAUGGGCGCAAGCCUGAUCCAGCAAUGCCGCGUGCAGGAAGAAGGCCUUCGGGUUGUAAACUGCUUUUGUACGGAACGAAACGGCUCUGGUUAAUACCCGGGGCUAAUGACGGUACCGUAAGAAUAAGCACCGGCUAACUACGUG